UACGUAAAAGACUAGUGUUAUUCAUCUUUAGUAGGUUUAAAGGGUACCUAGACGGUAUAAUUAGUCUUAAACAAGAAACGGUUAUGCUAGAGUUAUAUAUGAGAAGGGGAGUAUUUAUGGAGUAGAGUUGAAAUUCUUUGAUCCCAUAACGACUGGUAGCGGCGAAAGCAACCUUUUAUCUAAUAACUGACGUUUGAGGGACGAAAGGCUCGGGUCACGAACAGG
Molecule: ribosomal RNA, 225 nt
Filed under: uncultured bacterium
Lineage: Bacteria
Description: partial 16S ribosomal RNA
Rfam family: Bacterial small subunit ribosomal RNA
Source: RNAcentral